This 394-nucleotide ribosomal RNA is filed under the name uncultured bacterium. RNAcentral describes it as "bacterial SSU rRNA". It matches the Rfam family "Bacterial small subunit ribosomal RNA", at positions 971 to 1422 of the family's 1533-position model. The record is from RNAcentral.
UUACCACCUUGACAUGAAGGAGACUCCUUCGGGCACAGGUGCUGCAUGGCUGUCGUCAGCUCGUGUUGUGAAAUGUUGGGUUAAGUCCCGCAACGAGCGCAACCCUAUCUUGUUUGCCAGCAAUUGGGACUCCAGGAGACUGCCGGUGAUAACCGGAGGAAGGUGGGGACGACGUCAAGUCAUCAUGGCCCUUACGGUGGGCUACACACGUGCUACAAUGGCAUACAAGGGGCAUAGCGAUAUGAGCAAUCCCAAAAUGGUCGUAGUCCGGAUUGGAGUCUGCAACUCGACUCCAUGAAGUCGGAAUCGCUAGUAAUCGUGAUCAGAUGCACGGUGAAUACGUUCCCGGGCCUUGUACACACCGCCCGUCACACCAUGGGAGUGGGUGAAAGAA